Molecule: ribosomal RNA, 403 nt
Filed under: uncultured bacterium
Lineage: Bacteria
Description: partial 16S ribosomal RNA
Rfam family: Bacterial small subunit ribosomal RNA
Source: RNAcentral
AUUGAACGCUGGCGGCGUGCCUAACACAUGCAAGUCGAGCGAGCGGAGGACGGGUGAGUACUGUAUGGGGACUGCCCGAUAGAGGGGGAUAACUACUGGAAACGGUAUCUAAUACGGUGUACUAUGGGAUAACCCAUAUGUGGUUAGCUAGUAGGUGAGGUAAUGGCUCACCUAGGCGACGAUCCCUAGCUGGUCGGAGAGGAUGAUCAGCCACACUGGGACUGAGACACGGCCCAGACUCCUACGGAGGCAGCAGUGGGGAAUAUUGCACAAUGGGCGAAAGUCUGACGCAGCAAUGCCGCGUGUAUGAAGAAGGCCCUAGGGUUGUAAAGUACUUUCAGUCGGGAGGCGUUACCGACAGAGGAAGCAACGGCUAACUCCGUGCCAGCAGCCGCGGUAAUAC